UUAUCUGAACCUUCGGGGACGAUAACGGCGUCGAGCGGCGGACGGGUGAGUAAUGCCUAGGAAAUUGCCCUGAUGUGGGGGAUAACCAUUGGAAACGAUGGCUAAUACCGCAUAAUGCCUACGGGCCAAAGAGGGGGACCUUCGGGCCUCUCGCGUCAGGAUAUGCCUAGGUGGGAUUAGCUAGUUGGUGAGGUAAUGGCUCACCAAGGCGACGAUCCCUAGCUGGUCUGAGAGGAUGAUCAGCCACACUGGAACUGAGACACGGUCCAGACUCCUACGGGAGGCAGCAGUGGGGAAUAUUGCACAAUGGGCGCAAGCCUGAUGCAGCCAUGCCGCGUGUGUGAAGAAAGCCUUCGGGUUGUAAAGCAGUUUCAGUCGUGAGGAAGGUAGUGUAGUUAAUAGCUGCAUUAUUUGACGUUA
Molecule: ribosomal RNA, 420 nt
Filed under: Vibrio sp. P12-8
Lineage: Bacteria; Pseudomonadati; Pseudomonadota; Gammaproteobacteria; Vibrionales; Vibrionaceae
Description: bacterial SSU rRNA
Rfam family: Bacterial small subunit ribosomal RNA
Source: RNAcentral